GAUGAGUGGCUAAACUCCUCUUUGCAUGCUUGCGACAGCAGCGAGGCUGCAUCCCUGCUGCAGCCCUGGAUGGAAUCCCUUUGUAUUCAGUGCUUCUGGGUUUAAGGAUGCUCAUCCACACCGAGUAGGCGGUGGGAUGUCCUUCGUAGUGCCAACAGGCAGGUAUUGCCCUGCCUGGCUGCUCUGAGGGUGCUUGGCUGAGGUGGGUGAUGCUCAGUGGCUGUAUUUGCAAACAAGCCCACCCUUCCUUGUCCCCUCCCCAGCACGGCACACGCUGGCAGCUGGCACCAUUAACUAGGUUAGCUCUCUAAAUGGUGUUAGUGCCAGGUGCCUUAUGCAACUGCCUAAUGAGCUGAGAGAGGUUGCAGAAUGUCAGGGCAUUAAUCUGGGAGAGGAGAGGCGGGUGCAGUGCCAAAGCAGGGCUGCAGAACAGCUUAGUGUGGAGGAGGACAGGGAAGGAGAGCAUCCCCACACACGCCUGCUCCACGCUCUGGCAUGUUGCAUGCUCUCCGGGCGAGGGACAGGCUCGUCUUGCCCUGGGAGAGAUGGAUUUGUGCAGGGAGGGCAGCAGAGCAAACCAGGAGACGGGCCCCGGGCGAGAGGGCCGCCUGCCAGUCUGAUUCCUUUGCCCUGGUUUUCCUCCGGGCAUGUUCUCUCUCGCACGGUUUCAGCAGGCUCUUCUCCCCUGUUUCUUCCCAGCCCCUAAAGGAUUGUUUUCCAGCCUGCCUUCCGAGAGCUGGAAGUGGGUCUGGGAAGUAUGGCACAACUUUGUGCCAGUCAGCAGGAGGAUCCCAAACCCAGCCCAGCCCUAGCAGUGUGCACAGCGAGUGCUGGAUUGGGAAUAAAGGAACCAAACACAGGUUUGGCUUUCUCUGCCUCAUGAAUUAGGCUUUCCCCAGGAUGGAGAAGGAUGCCACACGGGUCACUUGGCCACUUUGGCUGGAGGCAGGGCUGAGAGAAGGCUAGUGACUGCUGGUUUGCUGGCUGUGCAGUGUGUUGGCUCAGGUGUGGGUCUGAGAGCAUGGGUUUGCUUGCACAGGACGCCCUGGCCAGCACCUGUCCCAGUGUGAGAGGACAGCGUGUUCCUUAAGUCCUUGCUCCAGCCCUGGGGUAUGCUGCAGCACUGGGAUCCAGCAUGGAGCUGGGAUGUACCAGCCAAGGGCAGGGAGGAAUGGAUUUACAGGCAGAUAAUAGGCCUAGGAGAGGAUGCUGCUGGCAUAGACUGUCCUUUUUUAAUGUCAGCCCCAUUCAGUGCCUCCUGGUGGGUGCCUUUUCCCAAGGAAAGUCUGUUUUCCCAGCCCAGCUGGGUUCCUGGACCUGUUAUCAGCUUUUUAGUGCUUUAUCAGUAGGGCCUUUUAUCAGAGCAGGGUGGGUAUAGGGAGAGGAGCAGGCCCUGCAGGUCUUGCAGCCCAUGGGGCUGAGCUUUGACCAGUGUUUGGGAGGGGAAUGAUGGCAGAGAGCAGGUCCAGCACCAUGCCAGAGCAUGACCAUUCACCAGCACCCUGCUCAGCUUGGCUUGGCUGCUUCUUGAAUUGGAGUUGACUUAGUCCACGUAUCCCUCUCACUUUAUUCCUCCAAGCUCAGGCUGUGCUCUUUGAGGUUGAGCAAAUACAAUAACUCACUUCCAUGCUGUUGGGGUCAGCUUUUCCCUUGGAGUUUCUCAUCAUCCUUCUCAAUAACCCACUAACACAAUCAGAAACACUUGCCUGAAGUCACUUGCCCUUAUGCCAACCCCAUAGGCGCCAGCCAGGCAUGCUUCAGAUCUGCCUUUCAUCCCUCAGUGCAGCCAAAUGAACUUGCUUUGAUUCUGGUGGCGUUUUUGGUUCUUCCUCCCCUUUUUCCUUUGUUUACCCACCAUAAAUCAGUGCGAGUGUCAGAGCUAUGGAUGGGUACCCCGUGGCACACCUGCAGGCUUAAGCUCCAGAUAAAGCCGUUUCCAAGGCUUCUUGUCCCGUUCCCUUACAGUAAGAGAUAACGAUGUGGCUUAAAUCCAGGAUUGGGAUGGAAGUUUUCCAUGUUGACCACUUAUACCUGAGGCUGCCUCCACGCCCCGUCUGAGCUCGCAGCCACUCAGAGCCAGGAAUCUGGAAGCAGGAGAUCAUCUCCAGGAUUUUGGCACAGCGGCAGAGUGCGAGUUCCCUCUGCUGGCACGUGGCAGGACGGGGCUGCCGUGCCUCCACAUUCCCAUCUCGCACCCAUCCCUAGGGAGAAAGAGCAGGGGCAGCUCUUGGGAAACCUCGUGGAUGAAUCUUGAAGCCUUUUGGCACAGAGAGCUUCAGGGAUGUCCCCAGCCAAUUGGUCCCUGUAUCCCAGUGGGACUUUGCAGCCGCAGGGAUAAAUCCUGGCACAUCUCAGAAGGGUGGGAAGGAGACCACCAUCAGGUGGGGAGUCCUUGGGGUGCAAAGACCUGGAGCCCUUUCCUCAUGGAGCUUCCUGGGAAGCGUUGGGAUUUCUUGGUUGGCAAACUUGGCUUUUCUUGCACGCUUUCAGGGAUGCAGCCUCUAAGCCUGUGCGUUUUCCUGGUUGACCCCGUGUUCUGCUCAUGCUGGCAAGAGUCCACUGUGGCAUCUGCUGGAUCUGCUGUAGGAGCAUGGUCAGGGGGCUGAGGGUCUAUUUCUAGCCUUGAUAAAGAGCUGCCUGAAAUCGCUUAAAAGACUUUCCUUUCUCAAAUCCCUUCUCUGGAGCUUCUGGAUGUGGCAGGCUCUGCUCUGAAUGCUGCUUUUACCCAUAGAGGAGCGCCUGCUUUCCCAAGUCUUGUUGCUCUCCACCUUCUCCUGCUGUGUUGCUGUGUGACGUGUCCACCUUUACUUCGCCUGCUUCGCUACCAUCUCAUCUCAAUCUCAAGCCGUAGAACAACCUGGUGGUGCAGCCCCUUUCAUGAGAAAUCAACCUGCUUUUGAUUUUGUUUUAUGGUUUUAUUUGGUUGGUUUGGUUUGGUUUUAUUUUCCUCCUGAUUUUGGUUUUCUUCAGGCCUUCACCUAAAUAGGGCACAGACAAUGUUAAUUCGUGGAGCUCUUACUCCCUCCUAAACUGAAACUCAGAGAAGGCUGGGCCAGUGUGAAAAAGGUUCAAAUACUGUGUUCCUAAAGCAGUUCCCCAUUUGUUGGUGGAUGGAGGAUGUGGAUUUAUGCUUCAUAGACU
Long non-coding RNA from Pezoporus occidentalis (night parrot), 3141 nucleotides. RefSeq lists it as uncharacterized. The transcript has 2 exons. The record is from RefSeq and is a predicted model, not a curated record. Lineage: Eukaryota; Metazoa; Chordata; Aves; Psittaciformes; Psittacidae.